AGUGAACGCUGGCGGUAGGCCUAGCACAUGCAAGUCGAACGGCAGCACAGUAAGAGCUUGCUCUUACGGGUGGCGAGUGGCGGACGGGUGAGGAAUACAUCGGAAUCUACUUUUUCGUGGGGGAUAACGUAGGGAAACUUACGCUAAUACCGCAUACGACCUACGGGUGAAAGCAGGGGAUCUUCGGACCUUGCGCGAUUGAAUGAGCCGAUGUCGGAUUAGCUAGUUGGCGGGGUAAAGGCCCACCAAGGCGACGAUCCGUAGCUGGUCUGAGAGGAUAAUCAGCCACACUGGAACUGAGACACGGUCCAGACUCCUACGGGAGGCAGCAGUGGGGAAUAUUGGACAAUGGGCGCAAGCCUGAUCCAGCCAUACCGCGUGGGUGAAGAAGGCCUUCGGGUUGUAAAGCCCUUUUGUUGGGAAAGAAAAGCAGCAGGUUAAUACCCCGCUGUUCUGACGGUACCCAAAGAAUAAGCACCGGCUAACUUCGUG
This 492-nucleotide ribosomal RNA is filed under the name uncultured bacterium. Its description in RNAcentral is "partial 16S ribosomal RNA". It matches the Rfam family "Bacterial small subunit ribosomal RNA", at positions 29 to 507 of the family's 1533-position model. The record is from RNAcentral.